This 213-nucleotide ribosomal RNA is filed under the name uncultured Streptococcus sp. Its description in RNAcentral is "partial 16S ribosomal RNA". It matches the Rfam family "Bacterial small subunit ribosomal RNA", at positions 1170 to 1382 of the family's 1533-position model. Lineage: Bacteria; Bacillati; Bacillota; Bacilli; Lactobacillales; Streptococcaceae. The record is from RNAcentral.
AAGGUGGGGAUGACGUCAAGUCCUCAUGGCCUUUAUGCUUAGGGCUACACACGUGCUACAAUGGGUGGUACAACGAGUUGCGAGUCGGUGACGGCGAGCUAAUCUCUUAAAGCCAAUCUCAGUUCGGAUUGUAGGCUGCAACUCGCCUACAUGAAGUCGGAAUCGCUAGUAAUCGCGGAUCAGCACGCCGCGGUGAAUACGUUCCCGGGCCUU